UAAAAUUGUUUAUAAAAAUAUGCUUCUUGUAUGUAAUAUCUUCUCUGUAUUUUCUUAUUUAUCAGAAAAUCUUAUGGAUUGGACUACUCUUUCUUCAUGACUGAAAUUUUCAGCAAGACUUCUGCAUUGUUGCAAUUCUCUCAUGACACAUUGACAUGUUCCUUGCAGCACGGCAUUUAGCAUGAGAGUGCUGGGACUCUUGUUAGUUCUUGCAGAGGAAGCAAUUAUAAAUCACACAGGAGGCUGAUAGACAAGGAAUGAAUUUCUCCACCCCACAAAAGUCUAAGAGACAGUGCUGUGAAGAGACAAAACAGAAUUUCACAUCUUGAGCUAAAUACUGCAAGAUUUGGGACAGAAUCAGAAGACCCAGAAAAAGUUUCUGUUUUUAUGGAAAUCAAAAUUGUGGUAACAAGAAUUCUUCUGGAAAUGUGGUCCUUUCAUUACUCUUGUAAGAUAAACAGAAAAGACAUGCAUCCAAAAAAAUGAAUUGAUCUUCAACAUAUGCCCUUUGAAGUUAUUGUGAUGAACCAUUAAUAGAGUUCCUCACAGAGAAUCUACUUUUGAUCAGCAGUAGUAUAUGUCAGGGAUUUGUCCUCAAAAACAGAUUCCACCAUAGAACACCUGUCCAGACCCUUCUAUGAAUAUAGUUUCUCUAUACCAAGGAUAAAUCAACAACCUCCACAUGAAUUUGAAACUAAUACUAAAGUGUGCUAUUAAAGUAAUG
Long non-coding RNA from Zonotrichia albicollis (white-throated sparrow), 724 nucleotides. NCBI's taxonomy places the organism in Eukaryota, Metazoa, Chordata, Aves, Passeriformes, Passerellidae. The record is from Ensembl.